AAAUGGCCUUUUGACUAAGAUCAAUGUAGUAUCUGUUCUUAUCAGUUUAAUUUCUGAUAUGUCCCCUACCCAGGGACCAUGUAUUAAAUUUAUUUUUGGAACAAGGAGAUGGAAUAGGGGCUCCCACCAUCCACUUCAUGCAUUGAUCUGGUAUUGCAGAACCUCCAGGAAUGGUGAACCCCCC
Molecule: small nuclear RNA, 184 nt
Organism: Sphaeramia orbicularis (orbiculate cardinalfish)
Lineage: Eukaryota; Metazoa; Chordata; Actinopteri; Kurtiformes; Apogonidae
Gene: U2
Rfam family: U2 spliceosomal RNA
About the family: U2 is a small nuclear RNA (snRNA) component of the spliceosome (involved in pre-mRNA splicing).
Source: Ensembl